Molecule: small RNA, 1398 nt
Filed under: Arabidopsis thaliana (thale cress)
Lineage: Eukaryota; Viridiplantae; Streptophyta; Magnoliopsida; Brassicales; Brassicaceae
Description: ATSL063120
Source: RNAcentral
CAAUGGCUACUGUCACAGUAAGAGGAUUUCUGAUGCCGUAGCUUUGGUUGAUCAAAUGGUCGAAAUGGGAUAUAAACCUGAUACCUUUACAUUCACAACUCUAAUUCAUGGACUUUUUCUUCACAACAAAGCUUCAGAAGCAGUGGCUUUAGUUGAUCAAAUGGUUCAAAGAGGAUGUCAACCAGAUCUGGUUACUUAUGGUACCGUAGUAAACGGAUUAUGUAAGAGAGGUGAUAUUGAUUUGGCUUUAAAUCUGCUCAACAAGAUGGAAGCUGCGAGAAUAAAGGCUAAUGUUGUGAUCUUCAACACAAUCAUCGAUAGUCUCUGCAAAUAUAGACAUGUGGAAGUUGCUGUUGACUUAUUCACUGAAAUGGAAACCAAAGGAAUUAGACCUAAUGUUGUCACCUACAAUUCCCUCAUUAAUUGCCUUUGUAAUUACGGAAGAUGGAGUGAUGCCUCUCGACUACUGAGUAAUAUGCUUGAGAAGAAAAUCAACCCCAAUGUUGUUACUUUCAAUGCAUUGAUCGAUGCGUUUUUUAAAGAGGGGAAGCUUGUAGAGGCUGAAAAAUUGCACGAGGAGAUGAUCCAAAGGUCUAUAGAUCCAGAUACUAUCACUUACAAUUUAUUGAUCAAUGGGUUUUGCAUGCACAAUCGCCUAGACGAGGCCAAGCAGAUGUUUAAGUUCAUGGUUAGCAAGGACUGUCUUCCAAAUAUACAGACUUAUAAUACGCUUAUAAAUGGAUUUUGUAAGUGUAAAAGGGUUGAGGAUGGUGUGGAACUCUUCCGCGAGAUGUCUCAAAGGGGAUUAGUUGGCAACACAGUCACUUACACCACUAUUAUCCAAGGGUUUUUUCAAGCUGGCGACUGUGAUUCUGCCCAAAUGGUAUUCAAACAGAUGGUUUCUAAUCGUGUGCCUACAGAUAUUAUGACAUACAGCAUUUUGUUGCAUGGACUUUGUAGUUAUGGGAAGCUAGAUACAGCAUUGGUCAUAUUCAAGUAUCUGCAAAAGAGUGAAAUGGAACUUAAUAUUUUUAUAUAUAAUACUAUGAUUGAAGGGAUGUGCAAGGCUGGCAAGGUGGGAGAAGCGUGGGAUUUAUUUUGUAGCCUCAGCAUUAAGCCUGAUGUUGUAACAUACAAUACAAUGAUCUCAGGAUUGUGUAGUAAACGCCUACUACAGGAAGCAGAUGACCUGUUCAGAAAAAUGAAAGAAGAUGGUACUCUUCCAAAUAGUGGUACAUAUAAUACGCUUAUCAGAGCAAACCUUAGAGAUUGUGACAGAGCCGCAUCAGCAGAACUCAUCAAAGAAAUGAGGAGUUCUGGGUUUGUUGGAGAUGCUUCAACCAUUAGCUUGGUGACAAAUAUGUUGCAUGAUGGGAGAUUGGACAAAAGCUUUCUCAA